Molecule: unclassified non-coding RNA, 289 nt
Filed under: uncultured fungus
Lineage: Eukaryota; Fungi
Description: partial contains 5.8S rRNA, ITS2 and 28S rRNA
Rfam family: Eukaryotic large subunit ribosomal RNA
Source: RNAcentral
AAGGAGUCUAACAUGCUUGCGAGUAUUUGGGUGUCAAACCCGGAUGCGUAAUGAAAGUGAAUGGAGGUGGGAAGCGCAAGCUGCACCAUCGACCGAUCUGGAUUUUCUAAGAUGGAUUUGAGUAAGAGCACGUAUGUUGGGACCCGAAAGAUGGUGAACUAUGCCUGAAUAGGGCGAAGCCAGAGGAAACUCUGGUGGAGGCUCGUAGCGGUUCUGACGUGCGAAUCGAUCGUCAAAUUUGGGUAUAGGGGCGAAAGACUAAUCGAACCAUCUAGUAGCUGGUUCCUGC